UAAAACGUAGGAGGCGAGCGUUAUCCGGAUUUACUGGGCGUAAAGCGCGCGCAGGCGGCCUUAUAAGUUAGACGUGAAAGCUCCUGGCUUAACUGGGAGAGUGCGUUUGAUACUGUAGGGCUUGAGGUUGGGAGAGGGGUGUGGAAUUCCCGGUGUAGUGGUGGAAUGCGUAGAUAUCGGGAGGAACACCUGUGGCGGAAGCGGCACCCUGGCCCACACCUGACGCUGAAGUGCGAAAGCGUGGGGAGCAAACAGG
Molecule: ribosomal RNA, 256 nt
Filed under: uncultured bacterium
Lineage: Bacteria
Description: partial 16S ribosomal RNA
Rfam family: Bacterial small subunit ribosomal RNA
Source: RNAcentral